AUGUUGUUGGGCACUUGUUUUGUUUGUUUAAGAAUUUAUAUCUUUUUCAUUUUUCAAUAUUUAAAUUCUGUGAUGCAUGGGUACACUGUUUUGGACAAAGUACCACUAUCGGGUACCUGUACGUGUAUGGUACAUACAUGGUUCGUAUUAAGUUCGUACCAUUUAUUUUUCUGUAUUUGGUAUGCGUGUUGGUACACGGUUGAUAAUCAGGUACCUACAAAUAUUGUAUUUUUUUCCCCGGUCCAUACGCAAAUAAUAACAGUUUUUUUCUUCUUUCAUUCUUUCAGGUUAUUUUUUUAUAAAAAUAGAAAUAAAAAACUAAUUCUAUAA
Non-coding RNA from Vicia faba (fava bean), 330 nucleotides. The record is from the annotation of a GenBank genome assembly. Lineage: Eukaryota; Viridiplantae; Streptophyta; Magnoliopsida; Fabales; Fabaceae.